GGGUGCAUAGCUCAGUGGUAUUGCAAUUGACUGCAGAUCCUGCAGAUCAAUAGGUCACCUGUUCGAACCUGGUUGGGCCCU
Molecule: transfer RNA, 81 nt
Filed under: Hordeum vulgare
Lineage: Eukaryota; Viridiplantae; Streptophyta; Magnoliopsida; Poales; Poaceae
Description: tRNA-Cys
Rfam family: tRNA
About the family: Transfer RNA (tRNA) molecules are approximately 80 nucleotides in length. Their secondary structure includes four short double-helical elements and three loops (D, anti-codon, and T loops).
Source: RNAcentral